ACUCGCUGCGUGUGUGUGUGUGUGUGUCUGUGUGUAGUCGAGGUUGGGGGUUUUUUUUUGGCCAACCACCAGCGUUUCUUCCUCGGGUUGUAUGAGACCAACGUCUUCACAGAAUCUCCAAACUUUCGAUGAGGAGAGGCGAGGACCCUAAAACUAAUCAAAGACCUGACUGGACCAACUGGAAUCCGGAUUAUCUUUUCAUUACCCGUUAAUGUAGUAUUUGCCUGCAGGCUGUUUUGAAGACCUCCAGAUCUCCCCUCCUGCCGAGUCUCCACCCUCCGUGUCUCCUCCACCCUCCUCCGCUGCCUCCCCUCCACCACAGACAUGAUCAUCCGGCUGGGAAGACUGACGCCCGGCUACUUCAGACUGCUCCAGAGGCAAGUGGCCGGAGAGGUCCAGACCAAGCCUCACGACCGGGCCGUGAACCAGAUUGCCAUGAUGCUGGCCAUCUUGGGCCUGGGCCUGUCCUACUACAGUGCCAAGCAGAUGACCGAGACGGCCCAGGACCAGCCGCCGCCCUGAUCAGAGCCCCGACGCCAGCCUGAAAUACUCUGAAGCCAUCCGCACGACUACAAGAUGAAGACGAUUUGACCGGGUGGGCUGGGACAGAGAAAGUGGUUGAGAACGUAGGCCUGGGCCCGCCAGCACCCUUUCCCCACAUCCAUCACCCUCUCCUGCCCUCACCAACGAUAGUGUUGAGAAGGCUCUAGUCCUGCUGUAAGGACCUGUUGUGUUUUAGUUAGUCCUGCUGGAUGUUGUUCAUCAUGGCCUUUUUUUGGAGAAGCAGAAUUGGCGGUCUAUAUUUGACCGGGGGGGGGGGUUGCUGAGGUUCUGAUAAUGCUGUUCUAAACUGUGAACCUUUCUGGUGGUAUAGCGAGGAGGAAGGCGGUGGAAUGAUGUGAGGGGGUGGAGUCUUCUGAAGGGAUGCAUGCCGCCUGUAAUCAUUUCCUCAAAAGUGGAGCUCUGGGCAGACCGAUGGCUCUCUUCAGUGUUUUCUAUAUAUUCUUUUUUUUUUUUUUUUUUUUUUUU
This is a long non-coding RNA of Gadus chalcogrammus (walleye pollock), 1029 nucleotides long. RefSeq lists it as uncharacterized. The record is from RefSeq and is a predicted model, not a curated record. NCBI's taxonomy places the organism in Eukaryota, Metazoa, Chordata, Actinopteri, Gadiformes, Gadidae. The transcript is spliced from 3 exons.